Pelobates cultripes (western spadefoot toad) is the source of this 316-nucleotide non-coding RNA. The record is from the annotation of a GenBank genome assembly. Lineage: Eukaryota; Metazoa; Chordata; Amphibia; Anura; Pelobatidae.
CCCAGAGGCCACAGCUACUGCAAAGUACUGUGCUCAGGAGCUGAGAAUGGUGAAAACAUCUCACAAAACAGAUUCAGGGCAUCCUUGAGUUAAGGCUAGAUAUUUACUUGGCCAAAAAGAAAUUGAAGAGGUCCAGUAGACAUCUUGCUCAAACUAGCCUUGACGGGGGUUGAACCCUUGUACCCAACUUUCCAGUAGAGUGCGUGGACUCACUGUGCCACUGUGGAACCUGUAAUGGUGUAAUGGCCCAGCUGUGUUUAUUCACAGUGUGCUCAUACUUUCCUUGCCUGGGUUGCCUUCAUGUAUAGAACCUUUG